GGCUGCGUCCACCAUGGCCUGGGCCUCUGUGCUCUUCUUUGUCUUCACUCACUUCACAGGUUCCUUUGCCCAGCUUGUGCUAACUCAGCUACCUUCCCUCUCUGUAUCUCCUGGAGAAUCAGCCACAUUGACCUGCACCCUGAGCAGUGGAUACAGUGUUGGUAACUUUGGAAUACACUGGUAUCAGCAGAAGCCAGGGAGCUCUCCCUGGUUUCUCCUGUACUAUUAUACAAGUACAGAGUUAGGAUCUGGAGUCCCCAGUCGCUUCUCUGGAUCUAAAGAUUCUUACACCAAUGCAGGGGUUCUGCAUAUCUCUGCGCCGCAGCCUGAGGAUGAGGCUGACUACUACUGUAAUGUCUGGCAUAAGGGUUCUAAGCAUUACACAGUGAUGUGCACCCUUAUGGAAGUGAUACGAAAACCUCCUUUGCAUUUUCUAUGUCAAAUGAUUCUGCUUCACUGCCUGGGAACAUGUUGA
Molecule: non-coding RNA, 475 nt
Organism: Octodon degus (degu)
Lineage: Eukaryota; Metazoa; Chordata; Mammalia; Rodentia; Octodontidae
Source: the annotation of a RefSeq genome assembly